CUCGAGGUCUAUCCCGACAGACUCUCUACAGUAGGGCCUAGUCGUUGGAAAUGCCUCGUAGAAUGAACCUGUGGUUUCGCUUUACCCUCAGGACUAGUGCCGUUAGACCUGUGGGAUAAAACUGCAGAACAAGA
Molecule: small nucleolar RNA, 134 nt
Organism: Anguilla anguilla (European eel)
Lineage: Eukaryota; Metazoa; Chordata; Actinopteri; Anguilliformes; Anguillidae
Source: RefSeq, a predicted model, not a curated record